RNAcentral lists this ribosomal RNA (346 nucleotides) under uncultured fungus. RNAcentral describes it as "SSU rRNA". It matches the Rfam family "Eukaryotic small subunit ribosomal RNA", at positions 20 to 370 of the family's 1831-position model. The record is from RNAcentral. Lineage: Eukaryota; Fungi.
GUAGUCAUAUGCUUGUCUCAAAGAUUAAGCCAUGCAUGUCUAAGUAUAAGCAAUUAUACCGCGAAACUGCGAAUGGCUCAUUAAAUCAGUUAUCGUUUAUUUGAUAGUACCUUACUACUUGGAUAACCGUGGUAAUUCUAGAGCUAAUACAUGCUAAAAAUCCCGACUUCGGAAGGGAUGUAUUUAUUAGAUUAAAAACCAAUGCCCUUCGGGGCUCACUGGUGAUUCAUGAUAACUCCUCGAAUCGCAUGGCCUUGUGCCGGCGAUGGUUCAUUCAAAUUUCUUCCCUAUCAACUUUCGAUGUUUGGGUAUUGGCCAAACAUGGUUGCAACGGGUAACGGGGAAU